AGAGUUUGAUCCUGGCUCAGGAUGAACGCUAGCGGGAGGCUUAACACAUGCAAGUCGAGGGGUAACAGGUUGGAAUUUCGGUUUCGACGCUGACGACCGGCGAACGGGUGAGUAACGCGUAUGCAACCUACCUUUUACAGGGGAAUAGCUUUCGGAAACGGAAAUUAAUACCCCAUAACGCUGCACUGUGGCAUCACAGAGCAGUUAAAACUCCGGUGGUAAAAGAUGGGCAUGCGUAACAUUAGCUAGUUGGUAAGGUAACGGCUUACCAAGGCUGCGAUGUUUAGGGGACCUGAGAGGGUGAUCCCCCACACUGGUACUGAGACACGGACCAGACUCCUACGGGGGGCAGCAGUGAGGAAUAUUGGUCAAUGGGCGCAAGCCUGAACCAGCCAUCCCGCGUGCAGGAAGACGGCCCUAUGGGUUGUAAACUGCUUUUCUGAAGGAAGAAUAAUUCCGAGUUUUUCGGGAGAUGACGGUACUUCAGGAAUAAGCAUCGGCUAACUCCGUGCCAGCAGCCGCGGUAAUACGGAGGAUGCAAGCGUUAUCCGGAUUUAUUGGGUUUAAAGGGUGCGUAGGCGGGCUAAUAAGUCAGUGGUGAAAUCUCUCGGCUCAACCGGGAAACUGCCAUUGAUACUGUUAGUCUUGAGUUCGGUUGAGGUAGGCGGAAUGUGUAAUGUAGCGGUGAAAUGCUUAGAUAUUACACAGAACACCAAUUGCGUAGGCAGCUUACUAGACCGACACUGACGCUGAGGCACGAAAGCGUGGGGAGCGAACAGGAUUAGAUACCCUGGUAGUCCACGCCGUAAACUAUGAUUACUCGUUGUUGGCGAUACACAGUCAGCGACCAAGCGAAAGCGAUAAGUAAUCCACCUGGGGAGUACGCUCGCAAGAGUGAAACUCAAAGGAAUUGACGGGGGCCCGCACAAGCGGUGGAACAUGUGGUUUAAUUCGAUGAUACGCGAGGAACCUUACCUGGGCUUAAAUGUAGAGUGCAUAAGUGGGAAACCAUUUUUUCCUUCGGGACUCUUUACAAGGUGCUGCAUGGUUGUCGUCAGCUCGUGCCGUGAGGUGUCGGGUUAAGUCCCAUAACGAGCGCAACCCUUAUCAUUAGUUGCCAUCGGGUAAUGCCGGGGACUCUAAUGAAACUGCCACCGUAAGGUGAGAGGAAGGUGGGGAUGACGUCAAUCAGCACGGCCCUUAUGUCCAGGGCUACACACGUGUUACAAUGGUCGGUACAGAGGGCAGCUACCUGGUGACAGGAUGCCAAUCUCUAAAGCCGGUCCAAGUUCGGAUCGAAGUCUGCAACUCGACUUCGUGAAGCUGGAAUCGCUAGUAAUCGUAUAUCAGCAAUGAUACGGUGAAUACGUUCCCGGGCCUUGUACACACCGCCCGUCAAGCCAUGGAAGCUGGGGGUGCCUGAAGUUCGUAACCGCAAGGAGCGACCUAGGGUAAAACUAGUGACUGGGACUAAGUCGUAACAAGGUA
This 1488-nucleotide ribosomal RNA is filed under the name metagenome. RNAcentral describes it as "bacterial SSU rRNA". It matches the Rfam family "Bacterial small subunit ribosomal RNA". The record is from RNAcentral.